ACGUCACCUCCUUGCCCCGAGCGGGUAGAGCGUUAUGACGGUCCCCACGACAGAGCAGCUGAUGCUGCGACGCGGUGACACUCAAGGAAUGACAUGUAAUUUCCAGACCUCAGCUCUGUGUCACUGAUCUGCUCUCCCCACAGCAACACUUUCCCGAGUGUAACUUUUGCUUCUGAUGAACUAAGGGAAUGAAUGGACUCCCUAGCAGCCUCAGAGAAGGCUUCCCUGCACCUGCAGAGAAGACUGGAACAGAGAAAUGAGAGAAGACACCGGUUUCCACUGUGUUUAUUACUAAUAUAAAAAAAAUUAAAAAGAAAACAAAAUCA
Molecule: long non-coding RNA, 326 nt
Organism: Rattus rattus (black rat)
Lineage: Eukaryota; Metazoa; Chordata; Mammalia; Rodentia; Muridae
Exons: 2
Source: RefSeq, a predicted model, not a curated record